UGGGGAAUAUUGCACAAUGGGCGAAAGCCUGAUGCAGCGACGCCGCGUGAGGGAUGACGGCCUUCGGGUUGUAAACCUCUUUCAGCAGGGACGAAGCGCAAGUGACGGUACCUGCAGAAGAAGCACCGGCUAACUACGUGCCAGCAGCCGCGGUAAUACGUAGGGUGCAAGCGUUGUCCGGAAUUACUGGGCGUAAAGAGUUCGUAGGCGGUUUGUCGCGUCGUUUGUGAAAACCAGCAGCUCAACCGCUGGCUUGCAGGCGAUACGGGCAGACUUGAGUACUGCAGGGGAGACUGGAAUUCCUGGUGUAGCGGUGAAAUGCGCAGAUAUCAGGAGGAACACCGGUGGCGAAGGCGGGUCUCUGGGCAGUAACUGACGCUGAGGAACGAAAGCGUGGGUAGCGAACAGG
Molecule: ribosomal RNA, 409 nt
Filed under: Brucella melitensis
Lineage: Bacteria; Pseudomonadati; Pseudomonadota; Alphaproteobacteria; Hyphomicrobiales; Brucellaceae
Also listed under: 1 other name
Description: partial 16S ribosomal RNA
Rfam family: Bacterial small subunit ribosomal RNA
Source: RNAcentral